This 203-nucleotide ribosomal RNA is filed under the name Vibrio sp. OPT20. Its description in RNAcentral is "partial 16S ribosomal RNA". It matches the Rfam family "Bacterial small subunit ribosomal RNA", at positions 102 to 308 of the family's 1533-position model. Lineage: Bacteria; Pseudomonadati; Pseudomonadota; Gammaproteobacteria; Vibrionales; Vibrionaceae. The record is from RNAcentral.
ACGGGUGAGUAAUGCCUAGGAAAUUGCCUUGAUGUGGGGGAUAACCAUUGGAAACGAUGGCUAAUACCGCAUAAUGCCUACGGGCCAAAGAGGGGGAUCUUCGGACCUCUCGCGUCAAGAUAUGCCUAGGUGGGAUUAGCUAGUUGGUGAGGUAAUGGCUCACCAAGGCGACGAUCCCUAGCUGGUCUGAGAGGAUGAUCAGC